RNAcentral lists this ribosomal RNA (407 nucleotides) under uncultured bacterium. RNAcentral's name for it is "partial 16S ribosomal RNA". It matches the Rfam family "Bacterial small subunit ribosomal RNA", at positions 30 to 526 of the family's 1533-position model. The record is from RNAcentral.
AUUGAACGCUGGCGGGAGGCCUAACACAUGCAAGUCGAACGGAGUGGCGGACGGGUGAGUAAUGCCUAGGAAUCUGCCUGGUAGUGGGGGAUAACGUCCGGCAACGGUCGCUAAUACCGCAUACUAUCGGAUGAGCCUAGGUCGGAUUAGCUCGUUGGUGGGGUAAAGGCCAACCAAGGCGACGAUCCGUAACUGGUCUGAGAGGAUGAUCAGUCCCACUGGAAAUGAGACACGGUCCAGACUCCUACGGGAGGCAGCAGUGGGGAAUAUUGGACAAUGGGCGAAAGCCUGAUCCAGCCAUGCCGCGUGUGUGAAGAAGGACUGCGGAUUGUAAAGCACUUUAAGUAGGGAGGCGUUACCAACAGAAUAAGCACCGGCUAACUUCGUGCCAGCAGCCGCGGUAAUAC